Molecule: ribosomal RNA, 253 nt
Filed under: uncultured bacterium
Lineage: Bacteria
Description: partial 16S ribosomal RNA
Rfam family: Bacterial small subunit ribosomal RNA
Source: RNAcentral
UACGGGGGGGGCAAGCGUUGUUCGGAAUUACUGGGCGUAAAGGGCUCGUAGGCGGCCAACUAAGUCAGACGUGAAAUCCCUCGGCUUAACCGGGGAACUGCGUCUGAUACUGGAUGGCUUGAGAUUGGGAGAGGGAUGCGGAAUUCCAGGUGUAGCGGUGAAAUGCGUAGAUAUCUGGAGGAACACCGGUGGCGAAGGCGACAUCCUGGACCAACACUGACACUGAGGAGCGAAAGCCAGGGGAGCAAACGGG